GACGAACGCUGGCGGCGUGCUUAACACAUGCAAGUCGAACGGAAAGGCCCUGCUUUUGUGGGGUGCUCGAGUGGCGAACGGGUGAGUAACACGUGAGUAACCUGCCCUUGACUUUGGGAUAACUUCAGGAAACUGGGGCUAAUACCGGAUAGGAGCUCCUGCUGCAUGGUGGGGGUUGGAAAGUUUCGGCGGUUGGGGAUGGACUCGCGGCUUAUCAGCUUGUUGGUGGGGUAGUGGCUUACCAAGGCUUUGACGGGUAGCCGGCCUGAGAGGGUGACCGGCCACAUUGGGCCUGAGAUACGGCCCAGACUCCUACGGGCGGCAGAAGUGGGGAAUAUUGCACAAUGGGCGGAAGCCUGAUGCAGCAACGCCGCGUGCGGGAUGACGUCCUUCGGGUUGUAAACCGCUUUCGCCUGUGACGAAGCGUGAGUGACGGUAAUGGGUAAAGAAGCACCGGCUAACUACGUG
This 468-nucleotide ribosomal RNA is filed under the name uncultured bacterium. RNAcentral describes it as "partial 16S ribosomal RNA". It matches the Rfam family "Bacterial small subunit ribosomal RNA", at positions 28 to 507 of the family's 1533-position model. The record is from RNAcentral.